AUCUGAAAUAAUAAAGAAGAAACAUAUUUGAAAGUAAGAAGAAUGAAGAAAAUAAUAUUGAAAAUUCUAAACUAAAGAUAAUUCAGGAAUAAAAUCAUGUGUACUACUCACUUCUGUCAUUUUAAGUGUGCAGUAAUCAGUAUAAGUUACCUAAAGGAAUUUUGUAUGCUUCUUAACUGAAUCUUUCUUUAAUAUUUCACAGUCAUAAGUCAUUUGAAAAUGAAUACUUCUUCAAGAGCUUUAGGGGUUACAAAACUUAUAUUUGAUUUUAAGCCAAAUUAAGGCCAAUCUUUUUUCCAGGAAUUCCCUUUGAAGCUUCAAAUGUCAAAUAAAUUCCUUGUAAAGGCAUUAUUAGGUCAGAAUUAAAUGGCAAUCAACCCCCCUCCCCCCAAAAAAUAAAAUAAAAUUAAUAACACAAAUAAAAAA
Ruditapes philippinarum (Manila clam) is the source of this 426-nucleotide long non-coding RNA. RefSeq lists it as uncharacterized. The transcript has 2 exons. Lineage: Eukaryota; Metazoa; Mollusca; Bivalvia; Venerida; Veneridae. The record is from RefSeq and is a predicted model, not a curated record.